Molecule: ribosomal RNA, 253 nt
Filed under: uncultured bacterium
Lineage: Bacteria
Description: partial 16S ribosomal RNA
Rfam family: Bacterial small subunit ribosomal RNA
Source: RNAcentral
UACGGAGGGUGCAAGCGUUAAUCGGAAUGACUGGGCGUAAAGCGCACGCAGGCGGUUUGUUAAGUUGGAUGUGAAAUCCCCGGGCUUAACCUGGGAACUGCAUUCAAAACUGGCAAGCUAGAGUCUCGUAGAGGGGGGUAGAAUUCCAGGUGUAGCGGUGAAAUGCGUAGAGAUCUGGAGGAAUACCGGUGGCGAAGGCGGCCCCCUGGACGAAGACUGACGCUCAGGUGCGAAAGCGUGGGGAGCAAACAGG